AGAACGAACGCUGGCGGCAGGCCUAACACAUGCAAGUCGAACGCUCUAGCAAUAGAGAGUGGCGCACGGGUGCGUAACGCGUGGGAAUCUACCCUUGACUGCGGAACAACGUUUGGAAACGAACGCUAAUACCGCAUAAUGUCUUCGGACCAAAGAUUUAUCGGUCAGGGAUGAGCCCGCGUUGGAUUAGCUAGUUGGUGAGGUAAUGGCUCACCAAGGCUCCGAUCCAUAGCUGGUCUGAGAGGAUGAUCAGCCACACUGGGACUGAGACACGGCCCAGACUCCUACGGGAGGCAGCAGUGAGGAAUAUUGGACAAUGGGGGCAACCCUGAUCCAGCCAUGCCGCGUGAGUGAUGAAGGCCUUCGGUUGUAAAACUCUUUUAGAUGUGACGAUGAUGACGGUAACAUCAGAAAAGCUCCGGCUAACUUCGUGCCAGCAGCCGC
Molecule: ribosomal RNA, 444 nt
Filed under: uncultured bacterium
Lineage: Bacteria
Description: SSU rRNA
Rfam family: Bacterial small subunit ribosomal RNA
Source: RNAcentral